GGAUGGGCCUGCGUCUGAUUAGCUAGUUGGUAAGGUAACGGCUUACCAAGGCGACGAUCAGUAGCCGACCUGAGAGGGUGAACGGCCACAUUGGAACUGAGACACGGUCCAAACUCCUACGGGAGGCAGCAGUGGGGAAUAUUGCACAAUGGGGGAAACCCUGAUGCAGCAACGCCGCGUGAGCGAUGAAGGCCUUUGGGUCGUAAAGCUCUGUCCUUAGGGAAGAAUAAUGACGGUACCCUGGAGGAAGCCCCG
Molecule: ribosomal RNA, 255 nt
Filed under: uncultured bacterium
Lineage: Bacteria
Description: partial 16S ribosomal RNA
Rfam family: Bacterial small subunit ribosomal RNA
Source: RNAcentral